RNAcentral lists this transfer RNA (67 nucleotides) under uncultured Desulfovibrio sp. It matches the Rfam family "tRNA". Rfam says of the family: Transfer RNA (tRNA) molecules are approximately 80 nucleotides in length. Their secondary structure includes four short double-helical elements and three loops (D, anti-codon, and T loops). Lineage: Bacteria; Pseudomonadati; Thermodesulfobacteriota; Desulfovibrionia; Desulfovibrionales; Desulfovibrionaceae. The record is from RNAcentral.
AACUUAGCUCAGUCGGUAGAGCAGCUGAUUCGUAAUCAGCAGGUCGAGAGUUCAAGUCCCUCAGUUG